GACGAACCGUGCGAACGUUGUUCGGAUUCACUGGGCUUAAAGGGCGCGUAGGCGGGCUGGCAAGUCAGGGGUGAAAUCCUCCGGCUCAACCGGAGAACAGCCUUUGAUACUGCCAGUCUCGAGGAAGGUAGGGGCAUGUGGAACUUCCGGUGGAGCGGUGAAAUGCGUAGAUAUCGGAAGGAACGCCGGUGGCGAAAGCGACGUGCUGGACCUUUUCUGACGCUGAGGCGCGAAAGCCAGGGGAGCGAACGGGAUUAGAUACCCGAGUAGU
This 271-nucleotide ribosomal RNA is filed under the name uncultured bacterium. RNAcentral's name for it is "partial 16S ribosomal RNA". It matches the Rfam family "Bacterial small subunit ribosomal RNA", at positions 524 to 794 of the family's 1533-position model. The record is from RNAcentral.